UGCAGUCGACGGUGAGCCAGCUUGCUGGGUGGAUCAGUGGCGAACGGGUGAGUAACACGUGAGCAACCUGCCCCUGACUCUGGGAUAAGCGCUGGAAACGGCGUCUAAUACUGGAUAUGUACCACGAUCGCAUGGUCUGUGGUUGGAAAGAUUUUUCGGUUGGGGAUGGGCUCGCGGCCUAUCAGCUUGUUGGUGAGGUAAUGGCUCACCAAGGCGUCGACGGGUAGCCGGCCUGAGAGGGUGACCGGCCACACUGGGACUGAGACACGGCCCAGACUCCUACGGGAGGCAGCAGUGGGGAAUAUUGCACAAUGGGCGCAAGCCUGAUGCAGCAACGCCGCGUGAGGGAUGACGGCCUUCGGGUUGUAAACCUCUUUUAGCAGGGAAGAAGCGAAAGUGACGGUACCUGCAGAAAAAGCGCCGGCUAACUACGUGCCAGCAGCCGCGGUAAUACGUAGGGCGCAAGCGUUAUCCGGAAUUAUUGGGCGUAAAGAGCUCGUAGGCGGUUUGUCGCGUCUGCUGUGAAAUCCGGAGGCUCAACCUCCGGCCUGCAGUGGGUACGGGCAGACUAGAGUGCGGUAGGGGAGAUUGGAAUUCCUGGUGUAGCGGUGGAAUGCGCAGAUAUCAGGAGGAACACCGAUGGCGAAGGCAGAUCUCUGGGCCGUAACUGACGCUGAGGAGCGAAAGGGUGGGGAGCAAACAGGCUUAGAUACCCUGGUAGUCCACCCCGUAAACGUUGGGAACUAGUUGUGGGGUCCAUUCCACGGAUUCCGUGACGCAGCUAACGCAUUAAGUUCCCCGCCUGGGGAGUACGGCCGCAAGGCUAAAACUCAAAGGAAUUGACGGGGACCCGCACAAGCGGCGGAGCAUGCGGAUUAAUUCGAUGCAACGCGAAGAACCUUACCAAGGCUUGACAUAUACGAGAACGGGCCAGAAAUGGUCAACUCUUUGGACACUCGUAAACAGGUGGUGCAUGGUUGUCGUCAGCUCGUGUCGUGAGAUGUUGGGUUAAGUCCCGCAACGAGCGCAACCCUCGUUCUAUGUUGCCAGCACGUAAUGGUGGGAACUCAUGGGAUACUGCCGGGGUCAA
Molecule: ribosomal RNA, 1090 nt
Filed under: Microbacterium sp. SA 39
Lineage: Bacteria; Bacillati; Actinomycetota; Actinomycetes; Micrococcales; Microbacteriaceae
Description: bacterial SSU rRNA
Rfam family: Bacterial small subunit ribosomal RNA
Source: RNAcentral